Molecule: long non-coding RNA, 225 nt
Organism: Dioscorea cayenensis subsp. rotundata (Guinea yam)
Lineage: Eukaryota; Viridiplantae; Streptophyta; Magnoliopsida; Dioscoreales; Dioscoreaceae
Exons: 3
Source: RefSeq, a predicted model, not a curated record
GUAACUAUAUUCAAACAACAUGCAAAAAGGUUGGCUGCUUUAAACAGCAGAUUGAUUGGCAUCAAAGUUGGAGACUUUUGCUAUGUUAAAGAAGGCCUUGUUCUUGGCCAGCUCAUAGGAAACCGGUUCACAAUUACCUUGAGAAUCUCAGGAUAUUGUGAAAGCUGCAGCUGAUGGUUUGAGCAGGAAUGGGUUUAUCAACUAUUAUGGUUUACAGGUUGGGGA